GAUGAACGCUGGCGGCGUGCUUAACACAUGCAAGUCGAACGAAGCGCUUAAGAUUGAUUCUUCGGAUGAUUUCUUUUGCGACUUAGUGGAGGACGGGUGAGUAACGCGUGGGUAACCUGCCUCACCCAGGGGGAUAACAGCUAGAAAUGACUGCUAAUACCGCAUAACCCGAUAGGAUCGCAUGAUCCAGACGGUAAAGAUUUAUCUGUGGGAGAUGGACCCGCGUCGGAUUAGCUAGUUGGUGAGGUAACGGCCCACCAAGGCGACGAUCAGUAGACGGCUUGAGAGGGGGAACGGCGACAUUGAGGCUGAGACACGGCCGGAACUCCUACGGGAGGCAGCAGUGGGGAAUAUUGCACAAUGGGGGAAACCCUGAUGCAGCGAGGCCGGGUGAGUGAAGAAGUAUUUCGGUAUGUAAAGAUCUAUCAGCAGGGAAGAAAAUGACGGUACCUGACUAAGAAGCCCCGGCUAACUACGUGCCAGCCGCCGCCGUAA
This 495-nucleotide ribosomal RNA is filed under the name uncultured bacterium. Its description in RNAcentral is "partial 16S ribosomal RNA". It matches the Rfam family "Bacterial small subunit ribosomal RNA", at positions 28 to 523 of the family's 1533-position model. The record is from RNAcentral.